RNAcentral lists this unclassified non-coding RNA (440 nucleotides) under Hevea brasiliensis (rubber tree). Lineage: Eukaryota; Viridiplantae; Streptophyta; Magnoliopsida; Malpighiales; Euphorbiaceae. The record is from RNAcentral.
CCACAAGCGAAUCGAACCCAACAUCAUAGUCCUUUGCCAACUCCUUCAAUUCAAACUUCGAACCUUUCUCUUUGGCCGCAGAACCCGAAAACACCGCCUUGAAGAAAGAACUUCUCCCCGACAGAAUGCACCGGUGGACUGGGACCUCCCUGUUAGUGGCCGAGAUUGUGAUUUUGGCGUCGGCAAAAAAGUCAAAAUCUGGGGAAUCGAAGAUGGAUUCGAGGCUUCUGGAGAGCUGUUGGAGUGCUGAGAUUUCAGGGUUUGGAGGCUUGGGAGUGGAUAGGGUUUCUAUGCAGCACGUGCUGCUUCCAUUGCUGAUCUCGGUAGAAUCAGAGAAACCAAUCCUAUUAUCCAUUAAAAACAAACAAGAUGACAAGAUACCAAGAAAAAGAGAAGGGAUUGUUGGUUUAAGAGAGGGUUUAGGGAGUGAAAUUGGUGCA